UACGUAGGGUGCAAGCGUUGUCCGGAAUUAUUGGGCGUAAAGAGCGUGUAGGCGGCUAGGUAGGUCCGUUGUGAAAACUCGAGGCUCAACCUCGAGACGCCGAUGGAAACCAUCUAGCUAGAGUCCGGAAGAGGAGAGUGGAAUUCCUGGUGUAGCGGUGAAAUGCGCAGAUAUCAGGAAGAACACCCGUGGCUAAGGCGGCUCUCUAGUACGGUACUGACACUGAGGGACGAAAGCUAGGGGAGCGAAUGGG
This 253-nucleotide ribosomal RNA is filed under the name uncultured bacterium. RNAcentral describes it as "partial 16S ribosomal RNA". It matches the Rfam family "Bacterial small subunit ribosomal RNA", at positions 524 to 776 of the family's 1533-position model. The record is from RNAcentral.